This is a long non-coding RNA of Capsicum annuum, 11104 nucleotides long. RefSeq lists it as uncharacterized. The transcript has 6 exons. The record is from RefSeq and is a predicted model, not a curated record. Lineage: Eukaryota; Viridiplantae; Streptophyta; Magnoliopsida; Solanales; Solanaceae.
GUAUGAAAAGGGUCAUUGAGAAUGGAAAAAAAAAAUUAGGUUCUUCAAAUCCUCAAUCGCCUCUGGUGGUCCCUCCUCUCUUUGUCAAAAUUUCUGCUGUAUGUUGUUUUCUACUGCCAUUUUUAGUUUCUAGUCCCGAUGCUUAUGUUUUGUGAUGUCCGGUGAUGAGAUUCCUGAUGGUCGAUGGGUAUAUGUUCUUACGGACACCUGAUAAGUACUCGAAACUCGAUCCUGGAUCUUUUGACAGCCCUAUCAAGUGGUACCUCUCUUUUGGGUUCCCGCUGCUUGUCUUCUCUGCCUCCUAUUUCUUGUAUUACUCCAGCUUGAUUUUGUUUGUUGUGGUGUAUGCGACAGUUAAGAGGAUUAAAUUUGGUAAAUUUGAUUGUUGUAGAAUUGCUGUGAACUAUUAUACACUAUGUUGCUUGGACUCUUCAAAAACGUAAAUGGAUGUGUGUCGAUUUCGUCAAAAGUAGUGUAAUAUUUGGAGUCGAAUUCGUCAAGAGUCCAUGCAACUUAGCUUAUACAGGUGAGCUUGCUUAUGUCUUUCAUGCGUUGGCAAGAUAAAAGAUGAAACCCUGUUCUCUUUGGUCGUUGUUGCUAUUUUUGUGCGCUACUUUAUGGACGCCUUGGUUUACUCUAGUGAAUUGGUAAUUAGCUUUGUUAAUCUGCUAGUCUGACUUGCCUAACUCUGUAACCUUUAGUGGUAUGGGUCCCUAUCUAUUUUAAUUUGUUUGGUUUUGAGUUUUCUCUCAACAGGCAUGAUGAAACUUGGUUGCUGUCCCCUUGGAGAUGUUAUUUCAGUCCACAAUUUCUUUCUUAGUUGCGUGUUGGACUUGUAGUUCAAGCUUCAAGGCUUCCUUGCGUGGAGAGGAGUUUGGAAUAUGAGCAGAUCUGUCUGAGAUGUUGCUUUUGCAGCAACUGCUGGUCCAACUUUUGUUCCACUUAUCUCUCGAGUUGGAGGACUCAGUUCUAUAUAAGCGGUUUUGCUUUGCUAAAAUUAUGAGAAGUUGGAGGAUGGUAACUUGGUUGUUGUGGAGCAUGUUAAACAUAAAAAGGUCCUGGUAUGAACACUUGGAUUCCUGUUUUGACAGAGACCUGUUCUAGUCAUUUUAAAUGUUCCAAGGUAUUUAAAUAUGUCUUUUGGUUUAUCAUUACAAGGGCUUCUGGUUAUUUUAUGUGGGGAUGUGUUCAACUACACUUGAGUGUUCUCGUCAUUCAGCACUAUCUAAUGUGCUUUCUCCUACAAUAUGUAGUAAUUUGUUAAUCUAUGUGCACCUUGCAGUUUUUGAAGUAGCUAGAAAAAAAAAGUAGCGGCGGACUUCACGACACGUUUCAGUUUAUUAGUUUCUUGGAUGUGAUAGGCUUGAGUUAAGAAAAACAAGAGAUACUUCUUCUCGAAAUAUGGACAAAUGGAAGCUCAACUCUAGAAGAAACACUUGAUGAAGCGAUUCGAGCAAAGGGAGCAUUAAGAAUUUGGAGUUCUUGAUUUUUAUUCAGUUCGUAAUUAGUUCUAUUUUUUUCUUUAAUUUGUUGAUUCGUGAUUGUUGUAUGUCAAUGUUGGCAAUAUUUUGAUCAGGGUACCUUCCAAUUGAUUUCAUGGUUCUUCUUCUAUUUUGUGAAGGUGGAUGGUCUCUUCUUCAUGAAUUGCAGCUAGUUCUUUCACCCACUACGCUGUAUGAAUAGCUUUUGAGGACUUCCCUUUUUGUUGCCUUCUUGCUGUAACCUUCUGCCAUUACCUUGGUCUCAAUGAUCAUAUCCUUGUUUUCCCAUGUGUAGCUUUGAGGACUUCUCUUUCUUGAUCAUUUUAUUGUGUAUUAUGGUGUGUGAGUUUCUAAUUGCAAUCCGUUGAGUUAUAUGCAAUGUUAAGAAGUUGGAAGCUGGUGCUAUAUGCAUUUUCGGGGGCAUCAAGUUUGCUUUCAGGUUUUGGGCGAUUCCGAGGUUUUUGCUUUGAGAUUCCUCUAUGCAAUUAGUUCUAUUUUUAGCUUUCGCCAUAAUGAUUGGAGAUGAUGUUGAUAUACUAGUGAUCAGGUUCCUCUUAUGGAUUCAGGGGUUGUUCCAUACUUUUGAUUUACGCAAGAUCCUUCAAUUUAAAAAAUGUGUGCUUUUGUACAUUGUUUUGCCACCCUAUCUACUCCCGAAACCUAGCAAUUUCCUUUUUGUUGAAUCAGAAUACUAGCAGAGCUGGGAAUUUGUCUCUCCAUGCUGUGACUUGGAUCUUCUAAUGAAUGUGUCUGCCGUUAUUCCAGACCUAUUGUGUCACAAGCAGUGCUCAAUCAUAUCUGUUUGCAUUUGAUCCCUUGACUUCCAAUUUAAUGCUAAUAUUGAUUUAAUCGUUUCAUCAACUUCUUUUACCUUCUUAUUUGGUUUGGUCAUCUGUUGAUUUCAUUAUCAGUUGUCAAGAAUACAUGGAUGGAACUUUAGUGCCAGUGGUUCUACAGGAACAAGUACAACAACAACAAACCCAGUAUAUUCCCACAUAGUGGGGUCUGGGGAGAAUAGAGUGUAUGCAGUCCAUACCACUACCUCUACAGAGGUAGAGAGGCUGUUUCCGAUAGACCCCCGACUCAAGAUAAAAGGCAGUAUACACAAGCAUCAAGAACAUAGAACACGAUAAAAUAACAUAGGUACGACAUUCAUAAAAUAUGUACAUUGCCAAACAAAGGACACCAAAGUCCACCUAAAUACUUACUAUGACUCAACCAUACCCUUAGCCCUCUAUCCUAAUGUUUUUCCUCCAUAUCUUCCUAUCUAGGGUCAUGUCCUCAGUCAGCUAUAACUGCUCCAUGUCACGUUUAAUCACUUCUCUCCAGUAUUUCUUCGGCCUACCCCUACCUCGUUUAAAACCUUCUAAGGCCAACCUCUCACACCUAGGAACUGAGGCACCUUCUCACACCUAGGAACUGGGGCAUCCGUGCCUCUCCUCAUCACAUGACCAAACCAUCUCAAUCUCACUUUCCGCAUUUUAUCCUCCACUGACACUACUCCCACCUUCUCCCGAAUAAUUUCCGCCACCUUCAACUUUUGAAUAUGCGAAUUCUUAACCGGCCAACACUCCGCUCCAUACAAUAUGACGGGCCGGACUACACAGGAACAAGUACCCAAACUUAAUUUUGGAUCAUCUUAUUUCCCCAAGCUUUCUGCUACUUUGGUGUUCACGUAUCUUCUUUGAUUUUUUUUUCCUUAUGUUUACCAUGCCAUUUGAUUUGGUUUGUUUGGAUGUAUGUUUAUAAAUCACAUGAUGACAGUGAGAGGAUCUGAUUUGGUAAUUUGUAGUUUGGUUCAGUGUACAUCCUUGUGCACCCUGUUUCUUUGCCUUUUUGGUGCUUGCACUGCAAUUUCGAUAUCACCAGGCAUUAAUGGAAGGGAGUUUCACAAUCUUGUCUGGCAUCUCUAGUCACUCCUAUGUGGCAUAGGUUUUCACAGUUUUGCACUUUAACCAUUCCUUUUUUUGUGUGCUGGUAGUCAUUGGAUCUUUCAAGAGCAGUGGAAUCUUCCUUUCAAGGAGCAGCCUCAUUUUUCAAUUACUGUUGAGAUUUCCUUAGUUCAGGCGCUUAGUUCAGGCAUUGAUCUAGUGUCUAGAUUUUUUAUUCUAUUUUCUUCCCUGAUUUUGGAGAUUCCCUUGUCUGGUUUUCAAAAGUGUUGUUAUACAUAAGUGUUCAACUAUGAUAGUUGAUAAAUCUUUCCUCAAGUAGGUAUAAUGUCAUUUUUGCCCUUUUCAGAUUUUAGUUCAGCUUCUUACUUUUUGCGAUGAUCCAACCGAUUAGGUCUCUUAUGGUUGUUGACAUCGGUUAAGUACUCGCUCAAUUCUGGAUCUUUAUAUAGUUGGCCGUCUACUUUUUCGUGUUCUUGCUGCUUAUCUUCUCUGCAUUUGUUUUCGUUUUUACUUAUCACACCAUUUUCAGUUUUGUCUGUUGUGGAAGGAUGUUGGAUCAGAUUUGGAAUUUUUAAAGGUUGAAUUCAGUAAGCUUUCCCAUUCAUGAUGUUUUUGGUCUUUUAGGUGCUUGCACUGCGAUUUGGAUAUCAUCAGGGCUUCGAGAAAAAGGGGGAUUUUUAAUAUUAUCUAUAUCAUUUCUACUGAUUUCCUUUGUAAUUUGGGUUUCACCACUAAAGUAUUCCCUCUCUGUGCUUGCAGCUAUGGUCUUGAAGUAGUAAAUUUAUUCUUUUCGUGGAGCAUCCUUUGUUUGUUGAUUUGAGUUGAGGUGUUUCAUUUAGUUCAGGCUCCUGUGAGUGUUCGAUUUUCAGUUUGGUUCUCUUCUUUAAUUGUGGAUCAUUCAGAGAAGUGGACCAAAAAGGGGUUUUUUAAUCUUGAUCUUGCAUUGUUUGUUGGAUGGAUGUACGUGACAUUUAAGAGGAUUAAAUUUGGAAAAUAUUUAAGUUUGGUCUUCCAGAGCAUGAACUCUUCAAUUCAGCUUUCUACUUAAUUAUUGUGUACUCAGCAGCAAUGAAGUUCUUAAUCCAGAUGCUUAUGUUCUUGGAUGAUCUAACUGAUGAGAUACCUGAUCAUUAUGGACACCUGAGAAGUACCCAAACACAAUUUUGGAUCUUCUUAUGGCCCCAAGUGCUCCUCUACUUUGGUGUAACCCAGAUGCUUAUGUUCUUUGGUGAUUCAACUGAUGAUAUCUCCAUAGUUAUAGACGCAUGAUGAGUGUACUCGAACUCAAUCUUGGAUAUUUUGAUGGCUCUAUAACGUACUCCUCUACUUCUCGUGUUCCUGCUACUUACUUUCUCUGUUAUUGUUUAGCUCACCAGUUGAUUUUGUUUGGUUUUGAUGAAUAUUUUUACCCAUGUGGUGGUGAUAGUGAGGAUAAAAUUUGGAAAUUUUGUAGUUUGGUUUCAGCGUGCAUCCCUUUGUACCCUAGUUCUUUCCAUUUUGGUGGUUGCACUGCAAUUUGGAUAUCACCCGGCAGUGAUGAAAGGGAGUUUCAUAACCUUGUCUGGUCGUAGGUUAGACUUUGAUGGUUUGGAGUUGAUAUUUCUGCUUAAUCUUGUACUGAUCUAUUUCUCCUCACUACCCUCUAUAAACAUCCCUUACUCUCUAUAAACAUCCCUGCUCGAAGGGUGGGGAGGACGGGCAACUCGAAUUCUAUCCUUCUGCCAGUUAUCUGUCUGAUUUGUUGGACUUUAAUUUUCUUUGGGUGCGGGUUUCUGCUCUUUGGUCGUGGCUGUUAUUAGUGGAGGGGGUCAAGGAUAAUUUUAGGUGUUUGCCACUAUGAUACUCAAAACACCGACCUAAAGCAACCGCCUCGAAAAUAUUCAGAUAUACAGCCGCACGAUGUCUUUAUCAUCAUACUCGUCGUUUUGUUUUAGCCUAUAAAUAGCCUAGGCAAUUAAUCGUUUGUUUUGUUUUAGUACCCUUUCCUCUUCUUGUCAAUGGGUUUUCAAUCCAUUGAUUGCCAGAUUGUUUAUUGAUUCUCUUUGAAAGAUGAGUGAUUGAUUUUUCCUGUGGAGGGAGCGAUUGGUUUGUUCAGUGGAGCGGUUGGUUGUGUUUUGAUUUCUUGGCCAUCUUUCAUAAAUCUCACCCUAUCUACUUUCAAAUCUUGCUUUACUACAAUUGCUUAGUUCAUUUGUUUCCUUUUGAUUUUCUGCAUUUGCAACUUUUUUAUCUUUUUUUGUUGAGAAGAAACUUAAGUCUAGGAUAAGUGGAGGAGCCUUUUAGGGGUUUGGGAGUUCUUGAUUUUCUUUUUUGAUCAGGUGUGGUUAAUGAUCUAAAUUAGUUCACAGUUACUUUUUUUGUUUGUAUGUCAACAGUGCCAAUUUUUUAUCAGGUCUGGUUAAUGGAUCAUAGGAGAAUGACUAUGGGGUAUCUUCCAGUGUAUUUAAUGAAUAUCUUUUGAGGAUUUCUCUCUUUGUUUCCUUCUUCUUGUUACAUUCUGCCACUUAUCUUGGUCGUAAUGUUCAUAUUCUUUGAUUUGAUUUCCAAUGUUUUUAGAAAUUGAACGUUCUCUUCCUGGUUUUGGGCAAUUCUGAGGUUUGAGAUCGGGAAAGAUACAAUAGUUCCCAGGUCUUUGACUAUAUAAGUAAUAAAUAUUUCUGUCUCUUGAAGCUUUGUCAAAACUGCUACUAUAUGGAAGUUCUCAACUAAGAUAAUUCUUUCACAAGUGUGUAUACUGCUUUCUGCUUCCAGUUUUAGUUCUUAGUUUAGAUGUUCAUGUUCUUUGAUGAUCCUGGUGUCUUUUAUUGGUUAUGGGUACAAAAAAGUGCUCCUCUACUUUUUGUGUCCUAGUUCUUAGUUUAGACGCCAACUUGUUUGUUGGUAGAUGGAUGUGUAGACCACAUUGGUGACAGUAAUAAAUGAUUAGUAUGCAUUCCCGUAUUUCUUGGUCUCUUUGGUGCUUGCACUCCAAUUUUAGGCUUAGACCAAAAAGGGGAUUUUUAAUCUUGAUCUUGCAUUUCUAAUUAUCUCUUAGGUGGUAAGGGUUUUAUCAGCUUUUCACUCAACUGUUCCCUUCUUUUUGCGCUUGCAUUUGGGUCCUUCAAAGUAGUGAAUUAUUCUUUUCAUAGAGCGUGAGUUUUUUUUUAGUUUUAAGUUUUGAUUUUCAUUUCAGUUUUGUCCCCUAUCAGAGUAGUCCCUCCUCUCUGUCAAAAUUGUCGCUUUAUGGAUGUUCCCAACUAAAAUAGUUUUUUUUUUCACUUGUGUGUUGUAUUCUGCUGUCAUUUUUAGUUUUUAGUCCAGAUGCUUAUGUUUUGUGAUGUCCAGUGAUGACAUUCCUCAUGGUUGAUGGGAAUAUGGUCUUACGGACACCUGAUAUGUACUCAAAACUCGUUCUUGGAUCUUUUGACAGCCCUGUCAAGUGGUCCCUUUCUAUUGGUGUUCUCACUGCUUAUAUUCUCUGCCUCCUAUUUCUUGUAUUACUCCAGCUUGAUUUUGUUUGUUGGGAUGUAUGUGACAGUUAGGAGGAUUAAAUUUAGUAAAUUUUGAUGGCUGGUGUUCAGUUUGCAUUCAUGUGCAUCCUGUCUAGCUUGUUUGUUGUAGAAUUGCUGUGGCAAGAUAAAAGGUGAAACCCUGUUCUCUUUGGUCGUUGUUGCUGUUUUUGUGGGCUAUUUUACGGACGUCUUUGUUUACUCUGGUGAAUGGUAAUUAGCACUUUUAAUCUGCUAGUCUGACUUGCCUAGCUCUGUAACCUUUGGUGGUAUCUGCAGUUUUGCUUUGGGUUGCUAUCGCUUUCAGUGUGUUUGGGUUUGAGUUUUCUCUCAAUAGGCAUGAUGAAGGUUGGUUGUUGCCCCCUUGGAAAUGUUAUUUCAGUCCACAAUUUCUUUCUUAGUUGCGUGCUGUAGUACAAGGCUUCCUUGCCUGGAAAGGUAAGUUUCAGUUUUGGUUAAUUGCUCAUUUGUUCUCAGUUCUUGCUUUUCCCAAUUCUCGCAAUCUUUUAUUACUUUGAAUCUGGUUCCUUACCCUAUGUGAAUGCAGUUCGUUAUGUUUUAUCAUUUUGCUAUAUAGAAGUAUGGAAUAUGACAGAUCUGUCUGAGUUUGCGUUUGCAGCAACUAUUGGUCCAAUUUUUAUUCCUCUUUUCUCUCGAGUUGGAGAACUCAGUUCCAUAUAAGUGUUUUGCUCUGAUAAAAUUAUGAGAAGUUGGAGGACGGUAAAUCGGUUGUUGUGGAGCAUGUUAAAGAUAAAAAAGUCCUGGCACCGGAGAUACUUCUACUUUUCUAUGCAGAGUUGGGUGGAUCAUCUUAGUUCGUCGGUUCAUUAUUGUAAAGUGUAAACUAGGUUUUGGGAUCUAAACAGAAGGAAAGAAAAUGAAAGCUGAUCUUUGACCAGCCUAUGUUGGCACCUACUUGGCAUAGGUUCUACCUACGUGGCAUAGGUAAUAGAGUAGGUGUCAGAAGGUUGAAGUUCAGAGAAUCAGAAGUUGAGAAUUUGACCAUACUACCUAUGAUAGGGCACCUACAGCUCAUAGGUACCACCUAUGGUCCGUAAGUGCUAGAAAUUAAAGAUUUAAAAGAUAAUGUAGAGUUGAAGACCCUGUCACCUACGUGAGGCCAUCUAUGUACCGUAAGUGGCACCAUAGGUGGUCGCAGACUCAAUUUUCCUCUUUUUUUUCAAAGGAUUUCUAUGGUUUCUAUGUAAUCUAUAAAUACUCUUUUGACGUUUUUAGUUAGUUUACACACUUUGAUGCACUUUAUACUCUUAUAAAUAUAUAUUUAUUUCAAAAUUGACUUUUGAUCUCGGAAUUCUCUUGUUCUUGGUUUUUGGUUACGUGAUUAAUUUAAGACUUUAGGUAUUUCUUUUUUCAUUGUUGUUACUUGAUUCUUUUUUAUCUUUUUUUUUAUUUGCAAAUGACUACAAGGGACUAGGUCCCUGGAUACUCAUGGCAACAGUACAACUAGCACGCGUUUGCACAGUUUUGUCCUCUUAUGUAAUAAACUAUGCGGGUGCUGCUUGUACUAUUGAGGACAAGUGGUCUAAUUAUAUUUCAACCCUAUUCAUCACUCAUUUAUAAAAGUAAAAGGAUGCUUCUUCAUCAAGUGUUUCUUGUAAAAUUAAAGAAGUGUUGAAGAGAGGAAAAAGGCAAAACUCAAUUUACAACAUUGCUCAUCUUCUUAUUUCUUUUGUAAGCUAAAAGAGUGAGUGUUCUUGAGUGAAUCCUAAUUUGUAAUAGAAUUACUCAGUCUAUAAGAGUAAUGCUCUUUUGUUUUCUUUACUUUGAGAGUGCUUAGGUAGAGUUGCCUAAGGUCAAAACUGGUUAGAGUUAACCAAUGUUGAGAGAGUCUUGGUAGAGUUGCUAAGGUUAGGCUGUAGUAGAGUUACUACAAACAGGAAGAACCUAGAGUUAGGCUAAAAUCGAGUCUGUAAUCAAGAGGUUGAUUAUAGUGGAUUUCUGAUGAGCUUGAGAGGGGAAGUCGUGGUUUUUCCUCCUUUGGGCUGGGGGAUUUCCACGUUAAAUCUUUAUGUUGUUAAUUUCCUGCAAAGCCUUUAGUUUUUCCAGCACUUCAUAGUUGCUUCAUUGUUCUAUUUUCUAUGACUGAUUUUGAGGGACCAGGUCCCUCACUAUGUGGUGCGACCCCCAAGGGUUCCAACAAUUAGUAUCAGAGACGGUUCACUCUAAAAGGUUCAUACCUAGAGUGUUUUGGUCAUCAUGGCUGCCUCACUGAAUUUGGAACAGGAUAAAAGGUUCCCUUAUACAAAGAGGUAAGAAUAAUCUUUGAAGUUAUUCCAAACACCUGGAAAAGUAAAGAAAAUGCUAUAACUGAGCUAGGGGUAGAGAGAAAAGGAGCAAAAAAGGAGAGAUUCCUGACUUUGAAGGCUUUAGAGUCCGACUCAAGUGAGAAAGACACAGAUGUUGCACUUCUGGCAAUAAGGAUUGUUAGAGUAAUGAAGAAAAAUGGUGAGCUUAGCAAAAAGAAUGGCAAAAUUUAAAUGUGUCACAAAGGUGGUAGUUUUGAAGAUUUCAUUAGGGAUUGCCCAAUGCAAAAGACGGAGAAAAAUCCUAAAAAAAUCAAAAAGAAAGGAAGCAGCUAGCUGUAUAGUCAAAAAGGUGUUGGUUGCAUGGGAAGACUCCUCCAAUGAAUCUGAGAAAGAUAAAGUGUAUGGAGUUGGUUUUAUGAUGAAAAGGGAUGAUAAGAAAAUCAUCUCAGGUUCCUGGUUUUCUCUCAUGGCAACUAAUGAAAAUAAAGAAGAAAAUGGGCAGAAAAAGGAGAUUUUACCCAAAAUUGAUUUAUGGAUAGUGGUUGUUCAAGGCAUAUGAUUGGAAGGGUUGACUGUUUUCUCUCCAUAAAGACACUUCAAGUGAGUGUCUUUUGAAAAUGGUAAAUAUGGGUAUAUCCAAGGUGUUGGAAGGAUUGGAAAAUUACCUCAUCAUGCAAUAGAAGAUGUGUAUUAUGUGAAUGACCUUAAGUACAGUAUUCUAAGUGUAUCUCAAAUCUGUGACAAAGGAAAUGAGGUAAAAUUCAUAUCUAAUGGAUGUACUAUGAAUAUUCAUUCAGAAAUGAAUGUUGGGAUCUUUCUUUCACACUAACCCUAUUUUUAACAUACUAAAACUAGUUUCAUUAUGAUGAAUGAAUGAAUCCAUCCAGGGCAGCUGGUAGCUAGCUUAGACUUCUCGGCCAGUUUCCCGUGUAUUGAUCCAUUGUGUUAGCAAUUUCUUAUUGUCAAGCAUGAAAUAUGGAAGAAUUAUUCUACAAGAAAAAAAGAUUAAAAAAAACAUGUAUGUAGCUGAUCUAGAGUUAGUGGCUGAUGGGGAAUUAACUUGUUUAAGUGCUCAAGGUUAAGAUACUAAUUUAUGGCACAGAAGAUUAGGAAAUGUAAGUUUCUCUUUGUUAAACAAGUUGAUUUCAAGGGACCUAGUCCGUAGCUUGCCAAAGCUAAAAUUUCCAGACAAUAAAGUUUGUGAUGCUUGUGUUAAAGUAAAACAGACCAGGUCCUCCUUCAAAUUAAAGAAGCUGGUGAGUACUUCCAGACCUCUUGAAAUACUACACAUGGAUUUAUUUAGACCUAUUAAAGUCCAUAGUAGAGAAAAGAAGAAAUAUAAGGUGGUUAUUAUAGAUAACUACUCCCGGUUCACCUGGACAAUGUUUAUAAGAACUAAGGAUGAAACAUAUGAGGUUCUUGUGGAUUUUACCAUGAAAAUACAAGUGAAGCUAAAUGGCAAAAUUGGUGAAUUCAGGUCUGACCAUGGAACUGAAUUUGAGAAUUCUCAAGUUGAUGAAUUUUGUGAUAAGCAUAAAAUGAGUCACAACUUUUCUGCUCCUAGAACUCCACAACACAAUGGAGUUGUUGAAAGGAAAAACAGAAUACUCAAAGAGUUUGUUAGGACUAUGCUAAUUAAUAAUAGUCUUCCAAAGAGUUUCUAGGCUGAAGCCAUAAAUACUGCUUGUUAUGUUACUAAUAGGUGCUUAAUUAGAUCACUAAUGAAUAAGACUCCAUAUGACCCGGUAUUCAAUAGAAAGCCUAAGCUAGACUAUUUUAGACUAUUUGGAUGAAAAUGCUUUGUGCUAAACAAUGGCAAGAAAGAAUUGAAAAAAUUUGACUCCAAAAGUGAUGAAGUAGUGUUUGUAGGCUAUUCCUCAAUAAGCAAAGCUUACAGAGUGUUCAAUAAAAGAACACUGUAUGUUGAAUAAAGUGUUUAUAUGUUCUUUAAUGAGUUAAGAAACUAAAUAAAUUCA